This is a long non-coding RNA of Saccostrea echinata, 416 nucleotides long. RefSeq lists it as uncharacterized. Lineage: Eukaryota; Metazoa; Mollusca; Bivalvia; Ostreida; Ostreidae. The record is from RefSeq and is a predicted model, not a curated record. The transcript is spliced from 3 exons.
UUACAAAGUUGUCAAACCAUGAUGAGUAAAAAAGAUGCAAGGAAAUUUGUUUACAGCCUUCCAGAUUCAGCAAAUAAUGCUAGAGAAUUAGUUAAUGCAAGACCUAAUGAUGGAAAUGUACCAGGUUCCAUGGCUAGGAGAAUGUCAGAAAGCCUCAUCAUUAGUGUGUUACAGAGGCAGUAAAGGAAAUCGAUGGUGAUGUUUCUUGUGUUGGUGAUGAGAAUCAGAGUGAGGAGGAAAUGGAUGACAGUCAAGACAAUCACUGAUUGCAGUGAACUUGUCGACAUGACAUCAUUUUGGUAAAAAUGACAUAUUUCAUGUGCUGUGAGAGACAGAACGAAGAUUUUUUUUACAGUGAAAAAUGUAUUUUAUUAUUAAACAGAAUAUUAUUUACAGAUUUCAGACAGGCACGUAAU